CAUAUCAGAGGAAGGUGGCAUAAGUAGGAAUCGAAUAGCAGGCGCCGAAAAGCGCUUUGCAGCGAUCUACUCUGGGAGGCAAAAUCGUCCAAUAGGAAAUCGAAAUCUGUCUUGUCCAGACAGUGACUGCCCAGAGCUCAACAGCAGAGGGCUUCAGCACUUGUCUUGAAACUGGGUUUGCCUGUCAUGCUGCCGUGUUCAAUCCCUAGAAACUCCCAGUUUCUACUUCACGUUUUCCUUUCAUUCAAUCUCAGUUUUAGUAUUGCUUGUUUGAUUUCUCAGUGGAAGAUCCCUAUGGAUUAGGAGACUGUGAAUCCGGAAGACGGUUUCUAUGUCAGGUAAUCUUUUGAGAUUCAAGCUUCAUUUUUUAGCUCUCUUUUCGUUUCUUAUGUAAGGUAACAACAAAUAUGAUGGAAAAUGAAGUUGAACGUUUGAGGUUUUUCAGGCGAGGGAAAAGAGAAAAAGGGAGAAGGGGAUUCUUUUUCUCGGAGACAAAAUUUCGUAGAUUCUUUUACUAAAACAGGAAUCCUAUGUUUCAGGUUUUUGAAGUGUUUGGGAAGUGCUUCUUCAAGCAAAAAAAUUGCAAACUUUAUGAUGAAAUCAGAAACUGAGUCUUUUGAGUUUUUUCAAUUUGUUGGGGAACUGAUGAAUGAAAGAGAUGAAGAGAAGGGAAAGGGGAACAAUGCAUGGUUUCCAUGUUGGUUGAAUCUUGGGCUUUCCCUACUUGUGAGGGCUUAGGUUACUCUUGGCAUGCGUUCGAAUUGAAUCUGGGUUAUUUGGAUUGUUGAAAGAGAUCAUCGAUUUCAUUUGUAGGUCUUGUUUGUUGAAUGAAACCCAUUUUACUUCUUCUAAUCUUGAUGUGAUUAAUUGUAUUCUGGCUACUGAUACGACAUCAUUGUCUUGUCCAAUUGCAGGAAUUUGGAGGAUGAAGUCUCGCUUAGCUCCUUCAGCCCAAUUGAUGGGUAGAAAAACCAUGUUCACAGUGAUUUAGUGAUGUGUUUUAUGUCUCUAAACAUUCCAGUGAGAUGCAUCUAGUGCAAGAAAAGAAGGGAAAUUUUACCAAACUAUAAUAAAGGGAAGCACAAUGUUAGGCACCCAAUCAUCAGCAACUUUGUGACCAUGGCUUCAGACUCUUUGCUUAGAGGCUUUCUUGUGAGGGACAUGGUUGAGAAGGAUUUUAUCUGUUCUAUCACAUAAAAAUUGAUAAAUGGCAUUCAGGUUGCUUUAAGACAGAUCCAUCAACAGUGAAGUUCUUAUGGAGCAGAAGAAAAUCCAAUUUCAUACAAAUUGGCUAUGUGGGAAGUUGGGAAAUUUGAGGAUAUACGAAUUAGCCAUGUCUGUCAGUCCAAGAAAAGUCAUGCUGACCCUUUGCUUAAGCAUCUUAGGAAAUUUGAGGAUAAACAUACACAUGCAUUAGUGUGACACGCAUGUCAAUCAUUGCAACCCAACAAUUGUUCUAUUGAUAAACUUUAUUUGGGCUACAAAUCGAAUGUUAAUUCUUAAAACCCUGACAUGAGGUUUUAGCACUUAGAAUUGGAUUUGUAUUGCUUAUGAAUAAUUAGAUGAAUGGGUAUUGUUAGAAAAGUUCUUUGAUUUCUCCAAGCAGACACAGCUGGAUCCCAUGGUUAUAUGGGGAAAGAAUAUCAUUGUCUGGGGAGCAAUAAAAUAUUUAGCAAAGAAGCAUAUGAAGAUGGGGAUCCUUAAAUUCUACGUGUAACCUUCACUUUGCUAAAAUCUAAUUUUUAGAAAAGUUCUUUGAUUUCUCAAUUUGGUAGAAUCUGUGACUUCUUAGAUGUUCUUGUAAUAUACUACUAAAAUCUAAUUUUUAAAGUAAUCUUAUAUUUGAAAUGGUAUUGGACUUUUUCACCACUUUAAUUAUUU
This 1881-nucleotide long non-coding RNA is filed under the name Vitis vinifera (wine grape). RNAcentral describes it as "long non-coding RNA (VVIN_LNC004160)". The record is from RNAcentral. Lineage: Eukaryota; Viridiplantae; Streptophyta; Magnoliopsida; Vitales; Vitaceae.